UGAAGGGUAGCCUCCAAAUGUGAUUUGGAGGACAACAUUAUCUCUAGCUCCUUCAUGGCGGUAUGUUCCGCCUCCUCCGCCUGCUUACGGUCCUGGAGGCCUCAUCCAAUUCUUGACGGAGGGCUGCAGCAUCCCCGGGGGCUACACAUGGAAGAAAUUACAAUACCCCCAUCCAGACACAUCAAACUAAAAGGCAGGACCACGCUGAGUUCAAUUCAAAGUGGUCACUUACAGGAGGCGCCAUCCCUGGCACGCUGCAAGCCACAGGUCUUCUGCUCCAAGAGCUCCCAGCUGCUCCUCCAACUCCGAGACCUGCGCAACAAGGCUAUGGUUCUCCCCAACGAGCACCUAAACAAAAACACAAGGUAAGACACCAUCCAGUUCGUCUACUAAAGACAUAUGUUGAACCAAGCAUGGCUCUCAGGCUACCACCAUACUUGGUCUCGGGGGCUACUACCACUACAAGUUAAGGGAAAAAGUUACCUUGAAGUUGGGAUCUGCAGAAAGCCCCACCUACUUCAAGACUGAUCACAGGCACUUCAGCGCCUCGUUGGCAGCCCUUAAGGGUGUCACGAUCUCCUAGGGAACCUCUGGCGGAAGCCCCUGUGCAUAAAUGAAGGGACCUCCGGCGCAACCGGCGGAGAAUGAACUGCCUCCCCUCUGGACAGGCUGUUGGAGAAUCCAGCGGUGUGCUGGCCGACUGGUCAACACUGCCAGCUACGGCCUUCGAAAUUGUAGGUGUCGUUGUCAUGCUCGCUAAAGGAAAGACAAACACUCCAGGGGAGCCUAGUCCUUCCACACGGACAUGUGAUAGACCUAUGGGCCUCACGACAGAAGACGAGUCCCCAUCCCCACCGUCCUUGGUGGUGCUCUCCGUGUCCGUGGCCACCACAAGCACCACAGAGGCCCUCCCGCAAACAGGCGGAUUCAUUAAUCUACUGCACCUAUUAAAGGCAUAGGGAGCUCGGGUAAAAUACUUACCUGGGGGCUGGCGUCCGACCUCUGAAGAAGGGGCUCCAAAGAUAAGGGCGCACCGAGCAAAGUCACCAGCGGUGUGGCUGCGAUCGCAAUAUCCACAGAGGACCACACAACAUAGGAGGUCCCCGCUCCAAGAGAGGAGGCACUGAAAAAAGCAAACCAAAGAUAAAAAACCAUGGAAACUAGCAGAGGUCAGACCAAGAUAUGGUAAGACACGACUUACGGGGUGGUCACUAGAGCAUGUCGCCUCUGUGGCGGCACCGGGAUGUGCAAAGGGGUCUUCAAGCCUCGGGAUUUUGGGGAGCUCUCUCGAAGCUCUUGACCGUUGCUGCGGGCCGGAGACUCCUUAGGCAGGCCUCAACGGAGUUUCUUGAGGGGCUGAUGCGGCGUCUCAGCCUCAGCCUUCCCCAGAUCAUCUUCGCCGACCUCGUCCUCCUUGCUUUCCUCGUCACUGUCGGCCUCGUCUCCAUGGUCAUCAUCCCCAUCGUCAUCAUCAUCCUCAUCUUCAUCAUAUCCGUCAUCGUCGGCGCCACUAUCGUGGCCCUCGGGCGAAGAUGUUGCUGCUUCACUACCUCCUGCUCGACGGGGUCUUUCCCGUCCAUGUCAUCUGAGGCCUCCAUGUCGGAGGCCUCUUCCUCCUCAUCCUCAGAAGCCUCUUUGGAAGCCCUCCUCCACCUCUUCGCGGACUCGCCCUUCCCUCGGGCAGGCCCGGGGAGGGCUGGCAUCAUCAAGGCAGACAAGUUGGAGCUCAUGUUCUGCCCCAAUAGCAGGGGCUUAGAAUGAUACGCCACGAAGACGGCGAACCCCUAUGGAACAGUGACAUAGGGCAUUAGAAGAAGAGGCCCUGACCUCCAAAAAAGAUGGAACUGCAACACCCGUCGGGAGGUCGACCGAAAAAGGCUUGACGACUUUCCUUUAGAAACUUGUGAUGGUGUCAGGGCCCACGAGGAAGGUGAGGUACUCGUCAAUGUCCUUCGGGCUCUGCUCCUCCUGGGAGAACCGUGCGGGGUCUCUUGGCCUAGUGUAUUGGGACAAGAGGAGGGCUUGGGCAUGCAGUGGCAAGCCAUAGUCCGCACCACCCACGUCUACAUGAUAUGGCCUCCGGUCAGUCCACAAUUCUUCAGAAGGAAGAAGGGUGGUAGCAUCUGCCAAUGCCUUAGCCUCCAACGAUAACCUGUACAAGGGAUCCCACGACCGUAGCUUCCGCGGGGGCUCAUUCAUGAAGGCAAGAAGUUUGUUACAAAUACCCUCCACAUAGAACCAGGACUUGUGCCGCUCCUGAAUGGACUUUGGGAGGUCAAAGGAAAGAAAGUGAUUUGGGACGGAGCUGCAGGAUGGAUCCCCCAAGGUCGCAAAACGCACCCCCAUUCAUUUGAACGUAGACACGGAAAAAGUACCGGAACAACUCGAAAUAGGGAGCUAUCUCAAGGAAGCACUCACAUAAAGGUGAUAAAGUUUGUGAUAUGGAGUACUUUGUUGGGGGUGAUGUGAUGCAUUUGGCAACCAAAAAUCCAGAGAAGUCCAUGCACAAAGUUGUGGAGGGGAAAUUUGAUACGUCUCCAACAUAUUUAUAAUUUAUGAAGUAUUCAUGCCAUGUUUGCAACACUUUUAUAUGGUUUUGGUAUGAUUUUAUUAGAACUAACCUGGACUAAUGCUGUUUUCAGCAGAACUACCGUGUGUCAUUUUUGUGUGCAGAAAUAAAAGUUCUCGGAAUGGGCUAAAAAUUUACGGUAAUUUUUUAUGGACCAAAAGAUACCCUAGGAGCAUAGGAGUUGGGCCAAGGAGUGACCGAGGAGGCCACAAGCCCAGGGGGCGCCCCCUAGGGCACCCCUGGCUUGUGGACUCCUCGGGAACCCCCUUGACGUGAGACCAACGCCAAAAAUUCUUAUAAAUCCUAACCUCUAGAAAGAAACCUAGAUCAUAAGUUACGCCGCCGCAAGCCUAUGUAGCCAUGAAAAAUAAAUAAAUGGGAGCCCGUUUUGGCACCCCGCCGGAGGGGGAAACCAUCACCGGAGGCCGUCUUCAUCAUCCCAACGGUCUCCAUGACGAGGAGGGAGUAGUUCACCCUCGGGGUCGAGGGUAUGUACCAGUAGCUAUGUGUUUGAUCUCUCUCUCUCUCUCUCUUGUGUUCUUGAUUUGGAUCGAUAUUGAUGUACCCCGAGCUUUGUUACUAUAGUUGGAUCAUAUGGUGUUUCUCCCCC
This 3179-nucleotide long non-coding RNA is filed under the name Triticum aestivum (bread wheat). RNAcentral's name for it is "long non-coding RNA (TAES_LNC006149)". The record is from RNAcentral. Lineage: Eukaryota; Viridiplantae; Streptophyta; Magnoliopsida; Poales; Poaceae.